AGUUUAGACUCGUAGCAGAUAGCUCAGUAACACGUGGCAAACUACCCUAUGGAUCCGAAUAACCUCGGGAAACUGAGGCUAAUGCGGAAUAGCGUUCAUCGCCUGGAGUGGCACGAACGCGAAACGUUACGGCGCCAUAGGAUGUGGCUGCGGCCGAUUAGGUAGACGGUGGGGUAACGGCCCACCGUGCCCAUAAUCGGUACGGGUUGUGAGAGCAAGAGCCCGGAGACGGUAUCUGAGACAAGAUACCGGGCCCUACGGGGCGCAGCAGGCGCGAAACCUUUACACUGCACGCGAGUGCGAUAAGGGGACUCCGAGUGCGAGGGCAUAUAGUCCUCGCUUUUCACGACCGUAAGGUGGUCGUAGAAUAAGUGCUGGGCAAGACCGGUGCCAGCCGCCGCGGUAAUACCGGCAGCACGAGUGAUGACCGCUAUUAUUGGGCCUAAAGCGUCCGUAGCUGGCCACGCAAGUCUAUCGGGAAAUCCGCGCGCUUAACGCGCGGGCGUCCGGUGGAAACUGCGUGGCUUGGGACCGGAAGACCAGAGGGGUACGUCCGGGGUAGGAGUGAAAUCCCGUAAUCCUGGACGGACCACCGGUGGCGAAAGCGCCUCUGGAAGACGGAUCCGACGGUGAGGGACGAAAGCUCGGGUCACGAACCGGAUUAGAUACCCGGGUAGUCCGAGCUGUAAACGAUGUCUGCUAGGUGUGGCACAGGCUACGAGCCUGUGCUGUGCCGUAGGGAAGCCGUGAAGCAGACCGCCUGGGAAGUACGUCCGCAAGGAUGAAACUUAAAGGAAUUGGCGGGGGAGCACUACAACCGGAGGAGCCUGCGGUUUUAUUGGACUCAACGCCGGACAUCUCACCAGCAUCG
Molecule: ribosomal RNA, 871 nt
Filed under: Natrinema altunense
Lineage: Archaea; Methanobacteriati; Methanobacteriota; Halobacteria; Halobacteriales; Natrialbaceae
Description: bacterial SSU rRNA
Rfam family: Archaeal small subunit ribosomal RNA
Source: RNAcentral